UCAUGUGUACCAAGGACGUGA
Molecule: unclassified non-coding RNA, 21 nt
Filed under: Chlamydomonas reinhardtii
Lineage: Eukaryota; Viridiplantae; Chlorophyta; Chlorophyceae; Chlamydomonadales; Chlamydomonadaceae
Description: small RNA Cre_2536
Source: RNAcentral